Molecule: small RNA, 128 nt
Organism: Thalassobacter sp. 16PALIMAR09
Lineage: Bacteria; Pseudomonadati; Pseudomonadota; Alphaproteobacteria; Rhodobacterales; Roseobacteraceae
Rfam family: Ruegeria cis8 sRNA
About the family: Cis-encoded. Targets hypothetical protein.
Source: Rfam
AUUGCCAGCAAUUUGGCAAUGUAGGGGAUCAGGGGUAGGUUCAAAACCAAAAGCACCAGAUUGCCAAUAAACAUCGACAUGAUAACAGCCCAGAAAAUCUGUGGUUCGUCAAUCAUUAGGCGCGGACC